UUGUAAAUCUAAGCAUUUUGUAAAUCUAAAGUGUUUGGAGAAUUCUUGCCAUUCAAAACUAUUUGCUGAGCCCCGCUCCCUGGUGGCUAUUUGGUGCUAAAGGAGGAAGGAGUCUGGGAGUAAAUGGAUGGGUUGGGUAGGACUCCCAUGUUCUGGGGUCUCCUGGGAUCUAGAGUGAGGAGGGGCUAAGGGUCAGGCAAUCCCGAGAGGUUUCCAGCCCUCUGGACAGUGGUUGGGGCAGGGGCUGCAGCCUCAGUUUGUGUUGAAGCAGCUUCCUCGCCCUUGGUGGUUUAUUACGGCUUCCACAUACAAUAUCUCACUGGAUUCUCAUAAUCACCUAGUGAAAACAGGGGUGGUGGGGAAAGGGCACUUCUCUCUAUUCAGGAGAGAGCUGAGCUCCAGAGAAGAGCAAUGACCUGCUUCAGGUCACACCAGCCACCACGGUCUGAACCCAAGGCUGGUGCUCCUCCCUCCCUACCCCGCACAGUUGCCCACAUGCACUCCCUGGGCCCACUGCAGGGUCUGGGCCCGGAACUACUGCUCCACCUCACUGUGUCCCCAUGAAAUCGGUCAGCUCAAUUCCAUGUGCCCCAGCCUGUUCUUCCACCCUCAGGUUUAUCUGGAAUGCAACCACUUCUCACAUACAUGGCUCCCUCCUGCGUCCCAGCCACAGUGAGUUCCCACCUCAUGUCUGUGUCUGGUUCUUGCAGGUGUCAACGACUGCACACCUGCUCUAUAGUUAUUCUCCUCUCAGCAGCCAGGAUUCGUCUUUUAAAACAACACUCGGCUCGCCGCACUCCUCCAAACCUCCUGAUGGCUCUCCAUUUUACAGACAGGAGGAAGGACAAGGUUUUCUAGGGGUCUACGUGGCCCUACAUAAGCUGCUCCACCCCUUUGGGGAUUCCUGACCUCUCUCAACUCUCUUCUCACUCGCUUUGCUCCAGCCACUCUGGCCUCGCUCUUCCUUGAACAUAUCAAGCUCACUUCCACCUCAGAGGCUUUGCACUGACUGUUCCCUCUGCCAGGAAUGCUUUUCCCUGAUAUACCAACACAACUCCACCCCUCCCCUCUGUUAUAUGGAUGCUCAGACAUCACCUAAUGGCCACUCUAUUUAAAAUCACAAGCUAACACAAGUUCCAGUUUUCCUGAUCCUUUCAUCCUCCUCUACUCAGUUUCUAUCCCCCUACUCAAUUUCUCGCCUUCUAACAUAUCAUACAACUUAUUUGUUAUAUUUAUUUAUUGCCUCUCUCCUCUCCUACUACAAAGUAAGUUCCAAGAGGGCAGGAAAUCUUGUGUUUUAUUUACUGAUUUACUCUCAGGGUGCAAAUUAGUGUCUGACACAUAGUAGGUGCUCAAUUAAUCAUGCAGCAAAUGCUGAGCAAAUGAAUAAAUAUAGUGGUUCACCAGUGCAGAGCUGAUUCUCAGUGUCCAUCUCACCACAGCCCUCAACUGAUCACAAUUCCUUCUGUUUCUCUCUCCCUUCAAGAGAUUGAGACCAGGAGAGACCAUGCAUGAGUGUUUGGGACUGUGCAAAAGAUUUCUCAUGACUUAGAACAUGCUGGAGUCAGAGGAAGCCUUAGCCCCUUGUCCUGUCUGAUGUCAUCAUCUUAAAGAAGAAAAAAUAAAAAAUCAAGCCCAAAGCCACCCAGGCAGCACAGGGCAAAGUUGUAAAAAAAAAUGAAGAGGAAAGAGAAGAUGAAGAAGCAGCAGAGGAGGAAGAUGAAAAGAAGAAUCUGCAAAAGGGACCUCAUGUGGACCACACAGCCUAAAAUACUUACUUACUAAAAUACUUACUACUACUGCUACUAAAAUACUUACUACUUUUCCUUUAUAGAAAAACAUUGUCAAUUCUUUCUCUAGGUUGUGGGCUCCACAAUCUGUCACCUCCAUUCUUGGUUUUGGGAGGUGCUUGGUAAAAGCUGAUAAAGUCACAACUGGCUUUACAUUAGGGGCUAAAAUGAGGCAGAAAAAGGAAUUUUCAAAUGGGCCCAGGUCAAUUUUGAAUGUUUAAUUAUUUGCUUUUCUGGACUUCAUGUCUCCUACCUAACAAAUGGCAACACCACCAUCCACCUUUCAGGGCUGUUGCAAGGAUUAAAUGAGGUAUUGCAUGUGUAUGGCUGGUGAGAGUAGGUGCUCAAUAAAUGGGAGCUUCUUCCCUUUCUUUCUUUAUUUUGGUUUUCCUUUCCGUAAUUGCAAUGAGAGCUAGCUUCUGGGUGGCCUUACAUUCUCUUGUGCCCUCAUCUUCCUUCUUGACACUUCCCCACCUUUGGACUUUUAGGACCAAAAUAACAGUCCAUCUUUCCUUCCCCCUCCCCAAAGACCAUCUCAGCUUCUCUGGUCCCUGCAACCUCCCAACAUGGAAUGACUGGGGACAAAUCUAAUCGUAAAGACCCCUCGGAGCAAGGACCCAUCUCAGGGUAGGAGAUAUUUCAGUUGAACAGGUGUCCCCGUCACCAAUUGCAGCAGCCAUUCAGGUGCUUCUGUGGCCUCCAUGUGAGGGCAGUACCAUGGAGCACCUUCUCAUAUUACCCAGGGCACCGAGCUCCUCUGGAGCCUUUCAGCUGGCCAGAUCUCCAGCAUGGGUCCCUGCCAGGAAGAUGGGCUCCCUGUGGGGACCCUGACUGCUGCCUUAUAUGCCAGAAUGGGGAGAGGGAUAGGUUUGCUGGAUGAAAUCACCACCCAGGCUCUACAAGCCUUUAAAUCUUCUCACAUCUGGCCCCAUCUCCCCCCAUUUCUGUCUGCCAGUCACCAAGUUUUCUGAUUCUGCCUCCUUAACAUCUUCUGACAUCCUCAACUAUUCAACUGAGGGCCCGAAUGUCUGGUUAGACUAAUGUCUUUAGUAUCCGAUCUCUGCUUGACUCGACUUAUCUCUUCUGUAAUGGCCUUCCCUUCUUUUUCUAUCUGGAUUUAAGAGAAAAGAAGAAAACAGUUUUCUAGCGGAAACCUUCCUUUCUUGAAUUCCCAUCUUCUGCCCCUGGUUGGAUGCCCCCUCUCCCUUACUUUCAGUUGAAUACAUAGUUCUAGCAUCA
Macaca mulatta (Rhesus monkey) is the source of this 3029-nucleotide non-coding RNA. Lineage: Eukaryota; Metazoa; Chordata; Mammalia; Primates; Cercopithecidae. The record is from RefSeq and is a predicted model, not a curated record.